GACGAACCGUGCGAACGUUGUUCGGAAUCAUUGGGCGUAAAGGGCGCGUAGGCGGGCUGGCCAGUCCGGGGUGAAAGCCCACGGCUCAACCGUGGAAGUGCCUUGGAUACUGCCAGUCUCGAGGGAGGUAGGGGCGUGCGGAACUUCCGGUGGAGCGGUGAAAUGCGUAGAUAUCGGAAGGAACACCGGUGGCGAAAGCGGCGCGCUGGACCUCUUCUGACGCUGAGGCGCGAAAGCCAGGGGAGCAAACGGG
RNAcentral lists this ribosomal RNA (253 nucleotides) under uncultured bacterium. RNAcentral describes it as "partial 16S ribosomal RNA". It matches the Rfam family "Bacterial small subunit ribosomal RNA", at positions 524 to 776 of the family's 1533-position model. The record is from RNAcentral.